GAUGAACGCUGGCGGCGUGCCUAACACAUGCAAGUCGAGCGAUUUAAUACGGUAAAGUGCGGCGGACGGGUGGGUAAUGCCUGGGUAAUCUGCCAUGCAUACACGGCUAAUAUACCGUGAGGUAUGAUAAUACGAGACAAUAUGCAUUUAUCCCAACGUAGAAGUAUCAAAGCUAUUGCGGCAUAGGAUGGUCCCGCGUCUGAUUAGCUAGUUGGUGAGGUAACAGCUCACCAAGGAGACGAUCAGUAGCCGAACGGAGAGAGUGUUCGGCGACAUUUGAACUAGGACACGGUCGGAACUCCUAGAGGAGGCAGCAAAGGGGAAUAUAGCACAAUGGGGUAGGGCCAGAUGGAGCUAGGCCGCGAGAGCGAUGAAGUUCGGAAGGACGUGAAGCAGUGUACUCAAGGGAUGUAAUGACGGUACCUAAAGAGUAAGCCCCGGCUAACUACGUG
This 452-nucleotide ribosomal RNA is filed under the name uncultured bacterium. RNAcentral's name for it is "partial 16S ribosomal RNA". It matches the Rfam family "Bacterial small subunit ribosomal RNA", at positions 28 to 507 of the family's 1533-position model. The record is from RNAcentral.